This is a small nucleolar RNA of Balaenoptera musculus (blue whale), 138 nucleotides long. Ensembl annotates it as small nucleolar RNA, H/ACA box 47. Its record names the gene SNORA47. Lineage: Eukaryota; Metazoa; Chordata; Mammalia; Artiodactyla; Balaenopteridae. The record is from Ensembl.
CGGAGGGCUGAGAAGGUGAGGCAGUUCUGAACCAUGCUGCCUUCCACCGGUUAAGACCUCCGAGAGUGAAGGCUUGCCAGGGCAGAGGAGGUCCCUCUGCCGCCCUCAGAGGGGCAGCACUCUGCUGGCCAACACUUG